Molecule: ribosomal RNA, 1336 nt
Filed under: uncultured bacterium
Lineage: Bacteria
Description: partial 16S ribosomal RNA
Rfam family: Bacterial small subunit ribosomal RNA
Source: RNAcentral
AGUGGCGCACGGGUGAGUAACACGUGGGUAACCUGCCCUAGAGAUCGGGAUACCCCCUCGAAAGGGGGGCUAAUACCGGAUACGCUCCUCGGGUCGAGAGAUCUGGGGAGGAAAGGUGGCGCAAGCUGCCGCUCUUGGAGGGGCUCGCGGCCUAUCAGCUAGUUGGCGGGGUAACGGCCCACCAAGGCUAUGACGGGUAGCUGGUCUGAGAGGACGACCAGCCACACGGGGACUGAGACACGGCCCCGACUCCUACGGGAGGCAGCAGUGGGGAAUUUUCCGCAAUGGGCGAAAGCCUGACGGAGUGACGCCGCGUGUGGGAUGAAGGCCUUCGGGUCGUAAACCACUGUCAGUGGGAAAGAUGGGUGUCGGCGCGAUAACCGCCGGCAUCUGACGGUACCUGCAGAGGAAGCCCCGGCUAACUCUGUGCCAGCAGCCGCGGUAAGACAGAGGGGGCAAGCGUUGCUCGGAAUUACUGGGCGUAAAGGGCGCGUAGGCGGGAUGGCAAGUCGGUCGUGAAAUCCCUCGGCUCAACCGAGGAGCGUCGAUCGAUACUGCCGUUCUUGAGGGUUGCAGAGGAGACUGGAAUUCCCGGUGUAGCGGUGAAAUGUGUAGAGAUCAGGAGGAACACCGGUGGCGAAGGCGGGUCUCUGGGCCGAUACUGACGCUGAGGAGCGAAAGCGUGGGGAGCGAACAGGAUUAGAUACCCUGGUAGUCCACGCCGUAAACGUUGGGCGCUAGGUGUGGGAUCCCUUCCACGGGUUCCGUGCCGCAGCUAACGCAUUAAGCGCCCCGCCUGGGGAGUACGGCCGCAAGGCUAAAACUCAAAGGAAUUGACGGGGGCCCGCACAAGCGGCGGAGCAUGUGGAUUAAUUCGAUGCAACGCGAAGAACCUUACCUGGGUUUGACAUACACUGGAAAGCCGUGGAGACACGGCCUCCGCAAGGCCGGUGUACAGGUGGUGCAUGGCUGUCGUCAGCUCGUGUCGUGAGAUGUUGGGUUAAGUCCCGCAACGAGCGCAACCCUUGUCCUAUGUUGCCAGCGGCCAGUGACUUUGUUACUGGGCCGGGGACUCAUGGGAGACUGCCGGGGUCAACUCGGAGGAAGGUGGGGACGACGUCAAGUCAUCAUGCCCCUUAUGUCCAGGGCCUCACACAUGCUACAAUGGCCGGUACAGAGGGCUGCGAAGCCGUAAGGUGGAGCGAAUCUCACAAAGCCGGUCUCAGUUCGGAUCGGGGUCUGCAACUCGACCCCGUGAAGUCGGAGUCGCUAGUAAUCGCAGAUCAGCAACGCUGCGGUGAAUACGUUCCCGGGCCUUGCACACACUGCCCGUCAC